CCUACGGGUGGCAGCAGUGAGGAAUAUUGGUCAAUGGCCGGAAGGCUGAACCAGCCAUGCCGCGUGAAGGUCAGUGCCCUAUGGGCGUUAAACUUCUUUUGUGCGGGAGCAAUAAUGGUCACGUGUGGCCAGACGAGAGUACCGUACGAAUAAGCAUCGGCUAACUGCGUGCCAGCAGCCGCGGUAAUACGGGGGAUGCAAGCGUUAUCCGGAUUUAUUGGGUUUAAAGGGUGCGUAGGCUGUGAGGUAAGUCAGGGGGGAAAUGCCCCCGCUCAACGGGGUGAAGUGCCAUUGAUACUGGCGGGCGGGAGGGCGGAGGCGGUGGGAGGAAGGUGUGGUGUAGCGGGGA
Molecule: ribosomal RNA, 349 nt
Filed under: uncultured bacterium
Lineage: Bacteria
Description: partial 16S ribosomal RNA
Rfam family: Bacterial small subunit ribosomal RNA
Source: RNAcentral